GGGUUGGGAUAUUACAAGAAAUUUCUUCACUCUCAUCCUAAACCUUCUUUUAGGAUGGUGACGGUCAAUCCAAAUUAAUCCAUUUUGAACUAGAGUCAGCAGGCCUAGUUGACUCCUAUUUAAAAAUCAGCAAAAGAAAAAAAGAGAAUAGGGCUCGGAAAAGAGGAACGGUGAUCGCAAUUCUCUACCUAAGCUUUCACCAUUGGGAUUACGGGCA
Molecule: long non-coding RNA, 217 nt
Filed under: Elaeis guineensis (African oil palm)
Lineage: Eukaryota; Viridiplantae; Streptophyta; Magnoliopsida; Arecales; Arecaceae
Description: long non-coding RNA (EGUI_LNC031461)
Source: RNAcentral